AUAAGGACAAAAACUAACUAGAAAGUGCAUUUUCUGAAGAAACUGCAGUGUGAAUGCUUGAAUCUGAAUGUAUGGACUGAAAUGAAUUAAUUGCUGAAUUUUGAGUUAAAAAUUUUGAAUGAGAUAAAAAAACAAAAAAAACAACCUGAAUUUAACCUGAAAACAACAGUGCUGAACUGCUAAAAGCUGAAGGUUACACAGAAGAAGAAGUUGGAAAAAAGCUGAAAAUGUUUUAAUUGUAAAUUAGAAAAACCUAAGAAAUGAGAAAAGAACAUUUAGAGUCAGAAAACAUCUGAAAGAAUAUUAAAAGGUCAUAUUCUUUGAAUCACUGAAUGACUAAAAUGUGAUCCCUCCACUUGGACCCACACAGUUUAAAAAGUUUACAUCUCUGAGCUUUGAAAGACAAGAUGUUGGAAAAAGAACAACGAUGGCGACGUUUUGAGGGUAAAAUGAUGGCUGUAACACUGUGGACACAGCAGCAGUUGAAAGAGAAGUGUUUAAGAUGAAUCUUGGCAGAGUGAGAGAGAGAGCUCGUUAAGCAGGCAGGUGUGAGCCUGGUUGCUAUAGUGACCGCACCCAAUGGCUCCAUACACACGUACACAGACAUGCGCCUCACUUUUGCUGCUUAAAAUGAACAGAAAAGUCAGGCCGAAACAAAUCGUUCCCAAAUGAAAAGUAAAAGUCGUAUUGACAAAAUUCUUUCACCGUGAGCGACAGCAGCUUCUAGUCUACCGAAUUCUCAGUUUUCAUGCCUGUGGAGUUUAUUAUAUGGACGUGGUGACAGUGUAAAGACACCAUGCUCUUCUGAUUUUCAAACGAACCUUCUGAGCCAUUUUAACAUUAGAGUCUAUGGAAGAGUUGGAGGGAGGAGGCUGUGCAUUGGUGACAUUUAUGAAAGAACCAUAACACCUAGUACAAUAGUAAACACAUUGGAUGAAAGAGGACAGCCAUG
Molecule: long non-coding RNA, 952 nt
Organism: Astatotilapia calliptera (eastern happy)
Lineage: Eukaryota; Metazoa; Chordata; Actinopteri; Cichliformes; Cichlidae
Source: Ensembl